This 358-nucleotide ribosomal RNA is filed under the name Clostridioides difficile. RNAcentral describes it as "bacterial LSU rRNA". It matches the Rfam family "Bacterial large subunit ribosomal RNA", at positions 2367 to 2724 of the family's 2925-position model. Lineage: Bacteria; Bacillati; Bacillota; Clostridia; Peptostreptococcales; Peptostreptococcaceae. The record is from RNAcentral.
GCUUGAUUGCAAGACAUACAGGUCGAGCAAGGAUGAAAAUCGGACUUAGUGAGCCGGUGGUUCUGCGUGGAAGGGCCAUCGCUCAACGGAUAAAAGCUACCCUGGGGAUAACAGGCUUAUCUCCCCCAAGAGUCCACAUCGACGGGGAGGUUUGGCACCUCGAUGUCGGCGCAUCACAUCCUGGGGCUGUAGUAGGUCCCAAGGGUUGGGCUGUUCGCCCAUUAAAGUGGUACGCGAGCUGGGUUCAGAACGUCGUGAGACAGUUCGGUCCCUAUCCGUCGCAGGCGUAGGAAAUUUGAGAAGACCUGUCCUUAGUACGAGAGGACCGGGAUGGACGUACCUCUGGUGUACCAGUUGU